Molecule: long non-coding RNA, 1003 nt
Filed under: Fukomys damarensis (Damara mole-rat)
Lineage: Eukaryota; Metazoa; Chordata; Mammalia; Rodentia; Bathyergidae
Description: lncRNA (ENSFDAG00000024384.1)
Source: RNAcentral
AUGGUGGGACUCCAGGGCCGGCGGCUCAGAGCCUGGCACUCUGCCUCCGCGGUGGUGGGUGGCAGCCUGCCCUUGUCAGACACUGGGCAUCAGGCAGGGCACUUGGGGGAGGAAGUGACUGCAUUUACAGACAGGUUUCCAAGGUAUCUACACUGCAUAGUUAGCCUCAGAGCAUUCACCAGUGGAUUAGCGACCGCAAAUGUUCAUUCCCAGCCUGGCUCCGAUCUGCACGUCUGCUCCCUGUCCUCCCUCUCCGGCCCUCCUGCAUCUGGAGUCUCUCUCCAGCUUGUGUGCAGACAGGGCGAACUCCAGAGACGUCAGGCUGAGCAGACGGUGGGAAGAAGCAGAGAGCUUUGCAUUGCUGUGAAGCAGGAAAUGAACACCCCCCCCUUCAGCUGGUACCCACUGUGCAUGCAGUGCGAAGCUGGGUUUGGGCCUCCUUACUCGGCCUUGGACACGGGACAGGGAGAGAAGACGGGGAGAGGAGGACGCAGCACCAACAGGUGUGGUCAGCCUGGAGAAGUCUUUGGGUCCGGGGACUCCCCGAGAUGGGCAGAGAGAGGCAGUGGACUCAGCUCAAGGAGCCGCUCUCCAGCCGCCUGGCCAGGCCCCUGGCUUCCCACUUCCUGGCGGAGGGGGUCGGGGGAGGUGCCCAGAAGGAAAUGGGCCUGGCGGAGGAGGGGCUUAUGAUUCAUAUUUUAAGUUUAUGUUUUAAUUUACAUGCAGAAAAAUUAACUUUUUUUGGUGUAUAGGUUUUUGAGUUUUGAGAAAGACAAGCGCCCGAUCGCGAACAGUUCCGCCGAGCGAUGGAGGGGGCGUUUGCAAUCUCCCGGCCUCUUACAGCUGCGGCGGUCGUCCGUGCUCCCCCGGGCCGCAAUAACACAGUCCCCGUGCACUCGCCGAGAUGAAUAACGACAGGUGGAGCAGGUGAGUCUAGCGGGACCCGGGUGGUUAAAUUGAGUGAGGAGGUAUUUUCGCUGAAUUUUAUGCAGUAGCUAUAUAG